GUGAACGCUGGCGGUAGGCCUAACACCUGCAAGUCGAACGGCAGCACAGUAAGAGCUUGCUCUUACGGGUGGCGAGUGGCGGACGGGUGAGGAAUACAUCGGAAUCUACUUUUUCGUGGGGGAUAACGUAGGGAAACUUACGCUAAUACCGCAUACGACCUACGGGUGAAAGCAGGGGAUCUUCGGACCUUGCGCGAUUGAAUGAGCCGAUGUCGGAUUAGCUAGUUGGCGGGGUAAAGGCCCACCAAGGCGACGAUCCGUAGCUGGUCUGAGAGGAUGAUCAGCCACACUGGAACUGAGACACGGUCCAGACUCCUACGGGAGGCAGCAGUGGGGAAUAUUGGACAAUGGGCGCAAGCCUGAUCCAGCCAUACCGCGUGGGUGAAGAAGGCCUCCGGGUUGUAAAGCCCUUUUGUUGGGAAAGAAAAGCAGCAGGUUAAUACCCCGCUGUUCUGACGGUACCCAAAGAAUAAGCACCGGCUAACUUCGU
This 490-nucleotide ribosomal RNA is filed under the name uncultured bacterium. RNAcentral's name for it is "partial 16S ribosomal RNA". It matches the Rfam family "Bacterial small subunit ribosomal RNA", at positions 29 to 506 of the family's 1533-position model. The record is from RNAcentral.